GAGGGUCUAGCUCAGUGGUAGAGUGUGUGCUUAGCAUGCACGAGGUCCUGGGUUCAAUCCCCAGGACUGCCA
RNAcentral lists this transfer RNA (72 nucleotides) under Camelus bactrianus (Bactrian camel). It matches the Rfam family "tRNA". From Rfam's summary of the family: Transfer RNA (tRNA) molecules are approximately 80 nucleotides in length. RNAcentral also lists the same sequence under 2 other names. The record is from Rfam by way of RNAcentral. Lineage: Eukaryota; Metazoa; Chordata; Mammalia; Artiodactyla; Camelidae.